This 253-nucleotide ribosomal RNA is filed under the name uncultured bacterium. Its description in RNAcentral is "partial 16S ribosomal RNA". It matches the Rfam family "Bacterial small subunit ribosomal RNA", at positions 524 to 776 of the family's 1533-position model. The record is from RNAcentral.
UACGGAGGGUGCAAGCGUUGUUCGGGAUCAUUGGGCGUAACGGCCGUGUAGGCGCCUAUCUAAGUCUGAUGUGAAAGCCCGGGGCUUAACCCCGGAAGUGCAUUGGAUACUGGAUGGCUAGAGGACGAGAGAGGGAAGUGGAAUUCCUGGUGUAGGGGUGAAAUCCUUAGAUAUCAGGAGGAACAUCGGAGGCGAAGGCGGCUUCCUGGCUCGUUUCUGACGCUGAGACGCCAAAGCGCGGGGAGCAAACAGC